UGGGGAAUAUUGCACAAUGGAGGGAACUCUGAUGCAGCAACGCCGCGUGCGGGAUGACGGCCUUCGGGUUGUAAACCGCUUUCAGCCAUGACGAAGCUUUUGUGACGGUAGUGGUAGAAGAAGCACCGGCUAACUACGUGCCAGCAGCCGCGGUGAUACGUAGGGUGCGAGCGUUGUCCGGAAUUAUUGGGCGUAAAGAGCUUGUAGGCGGUUUGUCGCGUCGAUAGUGUAAACACGCAGCUUAACUGUGUGCCUGCUGUCGAUACGGGCUGACUAGAGGAGGGUAGGGGAGAAUGGAAUUCCCGGUGGAGCGGUGGAAUGCGCAGAUAUCGGGAGGAACACCAGUGGCGAAGGCGGUUCUCUGGACCUUUCCUGACGCUGAGAAGCGAAAGCGUGGGUAGCAAACAGGC
RNAcentral lists this ribosomal RNA (410 nucleotides) under Fusobacteriota bacterium. Its description in RNAcentral is "Fusobacteria bacterium partial 16S ribosomal RNA". It matches the Rfam family "Bacterial small subunit ribosomal RNA", at positions 355 to 777 of the family's 1533-position model. The record is from RNAcentral. Lineage: Bacteria; Fusobacteriati; Fusobacteriota.